RNAcentral lists this ribosomal RNA (253 nucleotides) under uncultured bacterium. RNAcentral's name for it is "partial 16S ribosomal RNA". It matches the Rfam family "Bacterial small subunit ribosomal RNA", at positions 524 to 776 of the family's 1533-position model. The record is from RNAcentral.
UACAGAGGGGGCAAGCGUUGUUCGGAAUUACUGGGCGUAAAGGGCGCGUAGGCGGCCCGCUAAGUCGAACGUGAAAUCCCCGAGCUCAACUCGGGAACUGCGUCCGAUACUGGCGGGCUUGAAUCCGGGAGAGGGAUGCGGAAUUCCAGGUGUAGCGGUGAAAUGCGUAGAUAUCUGGAGGAACACCGGUGGCGAAGGCGGCAUCCUGGACCGACACUGACGCUGAGGAGCGAAAGCCAGGGGAGCAAACGGG